CAAUUGGAAAGGAAGAAAACAAGUCAUUCUCUCAGAUUAUGUAAUUGUCCACCUAAAACAAAGAAAUCUACGGGUCCAGGAGCUCCAAGUUUAUCUUGAGACCUUAAGAGGAGAGGAUCACCCAACUCACAGGCUCUACAUAACAAAAGUUCCCAAAGUCUACUCUGGAAACACUCAAAUAUCCUUCAGGAGUGGAAGAGGAAAAGAAAUUCCAUGGAC
Pan troglodytes (chimpanzee) is the source of this 219-nucleotide long non-coding RNA. RefSeq lists it as uncharacterized. The transcript has 3 exons. Lineage: Eukaryota; Metazoa; Chordata; Mammalia; Primates; Hominidae. The record is from RefSeq and is a predicted model, not a curated record.